This 403-nucleotide ribosomal RNA is filed under the name Verrucomicrobiota bacterium. Its description in RNAcentral is "Verrucomicrobia bacterium partial 16S ribosomal RNA". It matches the Rfam family "Bacterial small subunit ribosomal RNA", at positions 355 to 776 of the family's 1533-position model. The record is from RNAcentral. Lineage: Bacteria; Pseudomonadati; Verrucomicrobiota.
UGGGGAAUAUUGCACAAUGGGGGAAACCCUGAUGCAGCGACGCCGCGUGAGCGAAGAAGGCUUUCGAGUCGUAAAGCUCUGUCCUAUGAGAAGAUAAUGACGGUAUCAUAGGAGGAAGCCCUGGCUAAAUACGUGCCAGCAGCCGCGGUAAUACGUAUGGGGCGAGCGUUGUCCGGAAUUAUUGGGCGUAAAGGGUACGUAGGUGGUUUUUUAAGUCAGGUGUCAAAGCGUGGAGCUUAACUACUGUAAGCAUUUGAAACUGCAUAUCUUGAGAAGAGUAGAGGUAAGUGGAAUUUUUAGUGUAGCGGUGAAAUGCGUAGAUAUUAAAAAGAAUACCGGUGGCGAAGGCGACUUACUGGGCUCAUUCUGACGCUGAGGAACGAAAGCGUGGGUAGCAAACAGG